CCUACGGGGGGCAGCAGUAAGGAAUAUUGGGCAAUGGACGGAAGUCUGACCCAGCCAUCCCGCGUGCAGGAAGAAUGCCCUAUGGGUUGUAAACUGCUUUUGUUUGGGAAGAAAUGUAUUUUUUCAAGAGUAUUUGACGGUACCAGACGAAUAAGCACCGGCUAACUCCGUGCCAGCAGCCGCGGUAAUACGGAGGGUGCAAGCGUUAUCCGGAAUCACUGGGUUUAAAGGGUGCGUAGGCGGCCAGAUAAGUCAGAGGUGAAAGUUUCCGGCUCAACCG
Molecule: ribosomal RNA, 280 nt
Filed under: uncultured bacterium
Lineage: Bacteria
Description: partial 16S ribosomal RNA
Rfam family: Bacterial small subunit ribosomal RNA
Source: RNAcentral